Molecule: unclassified non-coding RNA, 336 nt
Filed under: soil metagenome
Description: partial contains 5.8S ribosomal RNA, internal transcribed spacer 2, and large subunit ribosomal RNA
Rfam family: 5.8S ribosomal RNA (bases 1-120)
Source: RNAcentral
GAUGAAGAACGUAGCGAAAUGCGAUAAGUAAUGUGAAUUGCAGAAUUCAGUGAAUCAUCGAAUCUUUGAACGCACAUUGCGCCCGCCAGUAUUCUGGCGGGCAUGCCUGUUCGAGCGUCAUUUCAACCAUCAAGCCCCAGGCUUGUGUUGGUGACCUGCGGCUGCCGCAGGCCCUGAAAACCAGUGGCGGGCUCGCUGUCACACCGGGCGUAGUAGAUUUUAUCUCGCUCAGGGCGUGCUGCGGGUUCCGGCCGUUAAAAAGCCUUUUUUACCCAAGGUUGACCUCGGAUCAGGUAGGAAGACCCGCUGAACUUAAGCAUAUCAAUAAGCGGAGGA